UACGUAGGGUGCGAGCGUUAAUCGGAAUUACUGGGCGUAAAGCGGGCGCAGGCGGUUUUGUAAGACAGAUGUGAAAUCCCCGGGCUUAACCUGGGAAUGGCAUUUGGGACUGCAAGGCUUGAGUGCGGCAGAGGAGACUGGAAUUCCUGGUGUAGCAGUGAAAUGCGUAGAUAUCAGGAGGAACACCGAUGGCGAAGGCUGGUCUCUGGGCUGACACUGACGCUCAUGCACGAAAGCGUGGGGAGCAAACAGG
Molecule: ribosomal RNA, 253 nt
Filed under: uncultured bacterium
Lineage: Bacteria
Description: partial 16S ribosomal RNA
Rfam family: Bacterial small subunit ribosomal RNA
Source: RNAcentral